Molecule: long non-coding RNA, 17920 nt
Filed under: Zostera marina
Lineage: Eukaryota; Viridiplantae; Streptophyta; Magnoliopsida; Alismatales; Zosteraceae
Description: long non-coding RNA (ZMAR_LNC001340)
Source: RNAcentral
CCUGGAGAGAGUCGCAAGCAAGUCGGCGGAGUCCUUGAGUGCAGAUACAGCGGAUUGUCGUAAAGUGGGGCGGAAAUCUGAAGAUACAAUGACUGCGGAGGUGGAGGAAGUGGAAGUGGAAGUGGAAGAAGAGAGAUAGGAUUUGUGUAGGGUUUUGGUGAAAGAAGGGGAGGGAGAUGGAUUGCAAUUCCUGGUGGUGAUGUUGGUGGGGAGAAAAUGCGAUCGGAAACUGGAGGAGACGGAUGGAGGUAGUGGAUAAGCGUUCAUCAGAGACACCGUCUGCAUCUCUCUCCCGGACUUCUAAACAGAUCUAAAUCCGUUAAUCCACACACUGCCAGUCUCAAUGCAGAAUUGCAGAUGUGAAAGAAAGAAAAAGAAAUCUAAACCGUCCAAUUUAUCCAUGUGACCAUGUUAUAACCUAGUUGUCCAAAAAUCAUUUAAUGGUCAUCAUAUGUAUUGAAUAAGGAUAAGAAUAGAAGUAUAAAUCUCAAAAAAAUUAGUCUGGACACUCCGAGUGCACUCUGUUAAAUUCAUGUUGCGGUGGAGCCGUUGGCGACAAUGUAGCAAGACCCCCAAGUCUGGGAUGGUCGAAGUGCAGCGAAGUGGCCAGAGAGACAGUUAGGGUUUUUCGCCCAAGAAGAAAGGGGCGAUACCUAUAAUAACUGCCGCUAGGAGGGAAUGAAGAAGAUUUUCGAGAAUUAACGUUAAUCAGUCAAAGUGAUUAACUAUUAUAUUAACUUAAUCAAUCAUUGUAAAUACAUCAUUUAUUUAUACAAUGUUUAUUCAGUAAUUAUCAACUAAUUCUCGUAUCUAAACUUGAUAGCUAAUUUUAACCAAGUAUAGCUUGUGGGCUGGACUCAUUUCGGCCCCUGUCCAUCGGUCCAGUUCCUGACCGUUAAUUCGGUUUGAAAUGUUCUUGUAAACAUACACAGAUAAUUAGAAAUAACAACCAGAUCCUUAUUUGACCUGGUUUACACUUUUGGUUAUUUUCUUAGUAAUCCCUGUAUUAAUUUCAUAAUAUUCGUGUACUUCACAAGUUAUAAUAAGUUAUUUAUAAUAAUAAGUUAUUUAUCAUAGUUGAAAUAUUAUAACCUUGUGCUUAUUUUAUUACGCUUAGGCCCUAAUAACGUUUUUGUUGAAACAUUUAUGAAUAAGUCCCUGUUAGUUAAUAACUAGCGGUUAUUCUGUUUUAUCACAACCUUUGAAUUAUUUUUAUUUUAUUUAGGUCCUUAGCUCAUGUUUCAUAAUAAGCAUAUUCUUAUACUCCCCCCUCAAGCCUUGAAAUACAUGUUAUGAAUUCCUAGCUUGACAGAGAAUGCUGAAAUCUCAUUUUCUCCUAGAGAUUUAGUAAAAAUAUUUGCAAGUUGGUAUUUUGUACCUACUUGUUUCAAUAGAAUUAUCCCUUUAUCUAUCAUUUUCCUUAUGGAAUGACAUGAGAUUUCUAUAUGCUUACUCCUUUCAUGAAAUACUGGAUUAUUAGCAAGAUAAAUUGCUGAUUUGUUGUCACAGUAUAGUGAUGUUGGCAUUUGUAUUUUUAGUUUUAAAUCUUUAAAAAGUUGAUGCAGCCAUAGUAUUUCACAUUGUGUUUUACUAAUGACUCUAUAUUCAGCUUCACAAGCUUGGAUUUCCAAGAAAUUAAUGAUGUUCCUAAGAACAUACAAUAUCCUGCUGGUGACUUCCAGCUGAUUGAGAAAGAAGCCCAAUCUGAGUCACAAUACCCAUGAAGAUUCAUUUGGUUUUGACUUUUAUAUAAGAUGCCCUGUCCUGGAGCAUUUUUGAGAUAUUUUAUCACCUUGAAUAAAACUUGAAGGUGAGUUUCUUUAGGAUUUCCAAUGAACUGGCUUAGCCAAUGGACAAGGAAGCUUAGGUCAGGUCUAGUGAUAUUUAGGUAUAUAAGUUUACCCACUAGUGACCUAUAUAGAGUUGGGUUUGUUAAAACCUUGGUUUGCUCAUUUCUUAGAUGUACAUACCUCUCCAUGGGUACUUUUGAAGGUUUUGCAUCUAUGAGACCACUUUCUUCUAGUAUGCCUAAUGCAUACUUUCUUUGUGAUAUAUAUAUACCUUCUGGUGGGUAUGAGCCUUCAAUUCCUAAAAAAUAGGAUAACUUUCCUAAAUCCUUGAUUUUAAAGUUUUUUUCAAUAUUUUUUUUUAUUAAGAACAUCUCUGUCUCAUUGUUCCCUGUAAUAAUGAUAUCAUCAACAUAUACCAAUAGGUAUAUUAUAUUUUCAUUGUUGUUUUUAACAAACAAUGAAUAAUCAGAAGGUAUUUGGGAAAAUUCAUUUCAAGUAAAACUCCCUUCAAUUUUGCAAACCAGUUCUUAGAUACCUGUUUUAGGCCAUAUAGGGAUUUAUUUAAUUUGCAUACUCUUUUAUCUCUUUCAUUGAGGAGUCCUUGUGGUGGUUUGAGGUAUACUUCUUCAUGGAGGUCUCCAUGAAAAAAAGCAUUAUUUACAUCCAAUUGAUAGAUAUUCCAUUUUUUAAUUGCUGAAAUUGCAAUUAUUGUUUUAAUUGUGGCAUUUUGACCACAGGGGCAAAAGUUUCAUAAUAAUCAAAACUUUCUUUUUGGGUGAAUCCUUUUGCCACAAGUCUAGCCUUGUAUCUUUCUAUCUCACCAUUUGGUCUAUAUUUAAUUUUAUAAAUCCACUUAGAACCUACAAGUUUCCUAUCAUGAGGAAGUGUGGUUAAUGUCCAAGUUUUGUUUAAAUGAAGUGCCUCCAUUUCUUUUUUCAUUGCUUCUACCCAUUUUGGGUUUUUAGAAGCUUCUGAAAAUGAUUGAGGCUCAUCAUGUAUUGAUAUUUGAUGAAGUAAUUUUUUAUGAUUUUUCUUAAUUCUAUGAUAUGAAACUUGAUUGCAUAUUGGGUAUUUUUUUUUUUUAUUAUUACAUCCAUAUUCCUUGUCAUUUUCAAGGAAAAAAUCCUUGUAUGCUUCUGAUAUAUGGAUUACUCUUCCUGUUCUUGUUGUUUUUUUUCCAGUUAUUUCCAUUGAUUUUUCUGGAAAUGUGCAGGGGACAGCUUGUUGAUGUUCAAUUUGAUCUCCUGUAGUCUUAGGAGUAAUAUUUUGUUGUUCUACUGGUAUUUCUAUAUUUGAUGAUCAUAUUUCAUCAUCAUUCUGAAUAUUUUCAGAAUUAUAGGCAUUCUGAACAUUUUCAGAAUUAUGGAUAGGAUUUCUAUCAUUUUGUAGGCUAUGAUUUGAUUCAAUAGCAUAAUUUUCUUUGUUUUUUCUCACACUGAUGUUUUCCAUAUGAUUGGUCAUCUGAUUUUGUGAGUUAUAUAAUUCAGGUUGUUCUGGAUAUGUUUGACCAGUUUCUGAUCUUGUAUCUGAAUUACUUAUCAGAUUAUGAGAUUUAUUUUUGUUUUAUGAUCUUAUGUUUUUAUUUAGAUCAUGGUUUUUAGUUUUGUUUUUAUCUUGGUUAUAACUUUUAUAGUCAUACCAAGACUUAUUUAAAUCAUCAUGAUAUAAAAAAACAGGGCGCAAUUUUGGAACGACCCUUUUUUCGAACGGUACAAUUCGCGGACAUUCGAUCCCGCCGUUCGUUCCUAUACCCUCUCCAAGCAGUUCGUUCGUCCUCCUAUACUCGAUUUCUGAAUUCGUUCGUUCGUCCGUCCGUCCUCCAUACCUCUCCAAGCCGUCCGUUCGAACCCAUCCCCCGGAACUGCAAUCGAGUUCCAGGAACCCAUCGCGAGUUCCUGGCAUGGAAUCGACGGUUCCAGGAGGCAUCGUGAGUUCCGGGGAACUCGAUUCCAGUUCCCUGGAACUCGCGAUGGGUUCCCGGAACUGCAAUCGACGGAUCCGCUACCGAUUCGACGAAGUUUCUCGAGAUCUGAGAGUUGGGAGGUUGCAGGGAUGGACGGAGAGACGGAGGACGUGGAUGAGGAGGCAGAUGAGUUAGGUGGGAGUGGGAGAGGGACGGCAAGUGGUGGGUCAGAUCUGGGGAAUGGAUCAGGUUUGGGGAUUGGGAGUGUUAGGUUGGGACGACGACGGUUGGUUGAUUGGGCGGAGGCUGCGACAGAAAUAGAGCCGACGGGACGGAGAGGAGUGGGAGUGUGUCUCAUAAUGGUUUUAGUCUUUUAAAUAAAUAAAAUCACUCCGGAUCACAGACGUGCCGCAGGGGACGGGUAGCCGUCUGUGAUCCGAAGUGUAAAAAAACAUUAUCAUAAUUUUUUUGAAAAUUAUUGGGUUUUUUUGUGUUUUCUGAAUUUAUGUUAUCUUUGAAUGAGAAUAUGGAUUCUCUAAAAGAUACAUCUCUGGAAAUAAAAAAUUUCCUGUCUGAAAACCUUAGUAUGAGGUAUCCUUUAAUACUUCUUGGAUAGCCCAUAAAAAUUUCUUGAAAAGUUUUUGGUGAAAAUUUGUUUUCUAUUUGUGUUGUUGAAGCAUAGCAUAGACAACCAAAAGAUUUUAAAUUUUCAUAGUUAGGUAUCUUCUUAUGAAUUAUUUUAUAAGGUGUUUUGUUUUCUAUAGUUUUAGAAGGAAUUUUAUUAAUUAGGCAGGCUGCUGUUAGAAAUGCACUCCCCCCAAUACUCUAAUGGAAUAUUUUCUUGAAGGUGUAAUGGUCUUGCAAUGUUCAAGAGAUGCCUAUGUUUUCUCUCUACCCUUGCAUUUUGUGCAGGGGUAUAAGAACAAGAAAAUUGUUGAAUUAUUCCAUAUUUUUCAACCAUUUUCUUAAAAUUGUUAGAAGUAAACUCUCCUCCAUUGUCACUUCUAAUAGUUUUGAUUUUGGUUCUAAAUUGUGUUUUAACCAUUUUAUAAAACUUUUCAAUACAUUUUAUUGCCAUUGAUUUAUUUUUAAUUAGAUAUAUCCAUGUGCCUCUACUCAAAUCUUCUACAAUAGUCAAAAAAUAAUUAAAACCAUCAUGGGUCAUAAUUGAAAAUUUGCCCAUAUAUCUACAUGAAUUGGAUCAAAAAUAUUUUCAGAUUUAGAAAACUAAUUGAGAAUUUAAGCUUAGCUUGUUUUGCUAAUGGACAUAUUCUACAAUUAUAUUGAAUAAAAUUUAUUUUAUUCAAAACAGAAUUUUUACCAAAAAAUUCAUUAUUACAAUCUGAAAAAUUAUUUUUAUCACAACUUGAACUAUCAUUAUUACAUUUGGUAUUUUUAUAUCUAAUUUUGUAUUUGGAGACUAGUGUCUAGCUUCAUUUUUCUGAAGAGAUGUGUCAUAAUCUUUGGUGCCAAGUUUUGAAAUCAAUGGCUGAAUUUGCUAGGAAAUAUUGGGGGGUGAAGAAAUAUAAUCCAUCACUAGACUCACCCUUGCCAAUCACUUUCCCAGAAUUGUUUUUCUGAAAUUGAAAACAAUGAUCAUCAAAAAUUACUUUAAUGUCAUUGUAUAAGGUUAACUUGCUUAUAGCUAUUAGAUUAACCUUGAAUUCAGGGAUAUAUACACUACAAGAAAUAAGACCUUGUAUGGCGGUCUUUAAAUGGCGGAUUUCCGCCAUCUAAAGACCGCCAUCUUGAACACCGUCAUUAAAACCCCAUAACCGUCAUCUAAAGACCGUCAUCUAUUAUCCAUCCCCAUUUCUCACCAAAAAUUGUAUAGAUGACGGAUUUCCGCCAUCUAAUCUCAAAAUUUUCGCGGGAACUGAAUCCGCCAUCUAAAAUAUCGCGCGGAAAAAGUUUGGCGUCAAUUCAUUGAUGACGGUUAAUUUUAUUGAUGACGGAUGUCCGCCGACUAUCCUUGUAACAUUAGAUGGCGGAAAUCCUUUUAUAUAAAACAUUCUUUAAAAAUAGAUUUUCUGAAAUUUUUAUGCAACCCACCUCUUGAACUAUUAAUGUUUUCCCACUAGGUAUAGUAGCAAAGUGAUUAGGUUCUUUAAUUGGUGGGUUGGUGAAUAAUUAUAGAUUACCAGUCAUGUGUUGUGAUGCACCAGUAUCUACUAUCCAUCUAUCAAUAUAAUUAUUAAUGUUAAAAGAAAAAAGAAAAAUAUUAUCAGAGUUUGACUUAGUUGAGGAGAUGAGUUCCUUGAACAGUUGGAUCUCUUCCUGGGUUAGCACUAGUUGUUGCUGGCUGUUGGAGGCAGUUGCUUGAUUUGCAACUUUUGAAGUUGUUGCAGUGCUGCUCUGGUUCUUUUUUCCUCGGAAUUUCUUCUGAAAUUUCUCUUUUGGUUUGCCUACUAGAUGAUAACAUUUCCCCCUUGUAUGGCCAUAAUAUUUACAGUUAUCACAGUAGAACCUAGUGUCAAGUUUCUUUCCAUUUUAGAAAACAUGAUUUUUGUUCCUUCUAUUGGAUUUUUAUCUUUAACAUAGAAGGUUGAUUCAUUUUUUUCAUUGCUAUUGUCCACCUCUGUUUCUCUUCUUGUAUAACUAACCCAAGAACCUUAUUCAUAUUGGGCAAAUUUUCUAAUAAAAGGAUUUGGGUUCUUAGGUUGUAGAAGCUUUCAUUCGGUCCUAAGAGGAACUGAUGAAUCAUGCACUCUCUUCUUUCUGUUGAUAAAGUUUCUUGCAUCCUUUGCAGAACUUUUCUUUUAUUUCAUCUAUUUGUACCAAUUGAUCCCAAAUAUAUCUGAAUUUGUCAUAAAAUUCAGAAGCAGACAUGGACCCUUGUUGUAAGCAACACAAUUCAUAUUUGAUUUGAUUUACUUUGGAAGUAUUCCCUUGUUUAUACUUACUCUCUAGAUCUAGCCAAACUUGAUGUGCAUCAUUAGUGUACAUAAUAGUUGAUUGAAUUUGAGGAGAAAUUGAAUUUAAAAUCCAUGCUAGUACUAAUCCAUUAACUAUUUUCCAUAUGUUAUACUCUCUAAUAGCAAAGUCUGUGGGCAUUAAAAUCUGUCUAGAGAUGAAGGCAUCUUUUCUUCUUGAAACCAAUGAGACAUUCAUCCCAUUGGACCGAGUUAUAUAGUUGGUUUCACCAAUUAGUACGUCUAUCAUGAACUAAUAUUGCCCCUGGGUGAUCACCGGAGGUUAAAAAAAAUGGAGACUCAGGAUCUUGUAAAGGAGAUAUAUACCUCUCGGAUCUUUGUCUCUUGAAAAUGGAGCUUUGAUACAAACCUUCUUCAUGAUUGUUUGCGCGAGAUUUUCCAGUGGACCCAGACGAGGAUUCGUGUGAAGCUGAUGGUGUCUCAAUUGGAUUGAGCGGCUGCGCAACAGACGCGGCUGGAUGAUUAGCCGAAAAUAAUGCGGAAGUGGCCGAACGAUUGACCGGAGGGACGUCAGGAGUGUUAUUGGCAGAUACCAUGUUAAAUUCCUAUUGCGGUGGAGCCGUUGGCGACAAUGUAGCAAGACCCCCAAGUAUGGGAUGGUCGAAGUGCAGCGGAGUGGCCAGAGAGACAAUUAGGGUUUUCCGCCCAAGAAGAAAGGGGCGAUACCUGCAAUAACUGACGCUAAGAGGGAAUGAAGAAGAUUUUCGAGAAUUAACGUUAAUCGGUCAAAGUGAUUAACUAUUGUAUUAACUUAAUCAAUCAUUGUAAAUACAUCAUUUAUUUAUACAAUGUUUAUUAAGUAAUUAUCAACUAAUUCUCGUAUCUAAACUUGUUAGCUAAUUUUAACCAAGUAUAGCUUGUGGGCUGGACUCAUUUCGGCCCCUGUCCAUCGGUCCAGUUCCUGACCGUUAAUUCGGUUUGAAAUGUUCCUGUAAACAUACACAAAUAAUUAGAAAUACCAAUCAGGUCCUUAUUUGACCUGGUUUACACUUUUGGUUAUUUUCUUAGUAAUCCUUGUAUUAAUUUCAUAAUAUUCGUGUACUUUACAAGUUAUAAUAAUAAGUUAUUUAUAAACUGAUCCUUCUAUUAUCUGAUCAUAGUUGAAAUAUUAUAACCUUGUGUUUAUUUUAUUACGCUUAGGUCCUAAUAACGUUUUUGUUGAAACAUUUAUGAAUAAGACCUUGUUAGUUAAUAACUAGCUGUUUAUUCUGUUUUAUCACAACUUUUGAAUUAUUUUUAUUUUACUUAGGUCCUUAGCUCAUGUUUCAUGGUAAAUUGCUAUUUUACCCUGGAUUUCAACAUAUUCUUAUACACCCAAUAUGGACGCACCAAAAGGAUCUAGAUGGGCCUUCUCAUUUUAUUCUUUAACUCAAAGGAUGAGGGCAUGGAUGGGUCCCUUGUGUAGUUGUGAAGGACAAACUCGAUAAGGAUGAUAUCAUCGUGAUCUAGUUCCUUGUAGUUCAUCUAUGGAUCUUGACAUAGACCAAAGAAAUAAAGAAGAUCUGAUAAGCCUUGAAUACAACUCAUAAACCUCUCUCUAGCUAGCUAGUUUAAUUUACUCUCUUCAGUAUUACAAGUGGCAAAAGCUAGAUCCUUCUCAUGUGUCCCCUAGAGAGGUAAAUAUAGUGGUGCCUGACUAGGCUAGCCAGGCUUGCCAGACCAAGCCUUUUUCCUCUCAGGUCUUAUGGACCAGGGUGGACUCGGUCUGGUAUACUUUCAGAAAGAUAGUGCCUCCCUCUUCCAAUAACCUUGAUGUAUUAAGAAUCUUUGGAAUUGCGUGAUAGUGAUGAUACAUGUGUCCAACUGUGCUCAGUUCUGUCGGUCAUCGGGAUCUUUUGGUCAUCGUCGUUCUGCUUAAUUUAUUUCAUUCGCCUUUUCCCUUCCGUUUCUAAUAACUAAUGAACUUGACAUUUGUUUUCCGCUCUUUAAUACAUUUUCAUCGAUUAUUGUUUUUCCCACAUCACCUUCCCAUUCCUCGACCAUAACAAGAUAGACGACUCUAUCAUACUGAAGUUGACUAACCUUGAGAGAAGGUCGUCUACCUCACUGAUGUGGGGGGCAUCAACUCUCUAGGGCACUCACUCUUGCCAAAAUCCAACCCCUAGCUAGCUAGGACCCUUGGAUCCCCUUUAUAGUCUAGAUUUAGGGCUAUUGGACCUACAUGGCGUCUACUCCUCUAGGUUGGGAUCUACCAAUUAAAUCAAAUAUCCUAUGAUUACCUUCGGGUCGGGCGUCCUUAGACACCAGUCGUGCUCUUUCGAACCGUCGCUACCUGGAGCACUAUGGGCUUCCAACGCUGGUCCUUUGGGCCUAUAAGGGUACAAGGUCAGAUGCGGCCUAGGCUAGGGUAUCAUUAUUCACCCUAGGUCGAAAACCCUCCAUGUUGGUCGACUAACUUCAAAAAAGAUUGAUUACCCUCCUCCAAGGUCGACCACCCCCUCUACGUCAAAGAUCCCUCACCUCCAAGGUUGUCUACCUUAUUCUAGAAGUUUUCUAGGUCAUUUCACGUCUACAGAAGUAGAUUAUUAAAUUUGUCUUGACCUUUCCUAUAAAUAGGAUUGAGGGACCCUUGGAAAAAAGGGUGCAAGAUUUCUUGUUAACGAAUCACUCAUCGGAAUAAGAGUGUUUCUUCAUAGUCCAAGCAAUCCCGGAUCGACGACCCUUACUAAGUGGUCACUAGUCAGAUCACGGUUCAACAUCUUUCUUUUAUUAGUGCAUGAUAUUUGGUUAUUUUGUGCAUCACUACUAGUGCUUUGGUUAUCGAGAAGUAACGGAAGGCGUGCAUACCCGCAUACCUUAACCCCCAACAUCUGGCACAAACGUUCAUGGGUAACAAGUCGUUUGUACCUAACAUUUGAGUGAUUUGAGAUAAGCAUGCACACGCCUCGCAGAGGACGUCGGAGAUCGGAAAGACAAGCCUGAAGUUAGAGUAUGAUGCUUACACGAUUAUAUAGUUGGCUAGAAGAGUUGAGGCACAUUGUCCAUCGGAGGGCCCACUUGAUAGGUUUCAGCCUUACAUAGAAGAAAAGCAUAUAAUCGGGGAUAUCAUUGGGCUUCAAGGAGAAGAUAUUUACCUUCGAGAUCGAAAACCGAUACAUUGGAGAACGACAUGGUUACUGCUUGCGUACUAUAGCCUUAGGAUCACGAUUCAACAUAAAUAUUAGGUAGAUGGCAACUUUGAAAGGGAGUAUUAAACUUAUACUGAACUUGUGAUCAAUAAUAAGAAAGAAUCAUAGUAUUCUGGAAUAUGAUACAAUUCAGGUGUGGUGUGGUCUGGUUAGGUGAAGUCUUAAAAACAUUAAUAUGUACAUGAAAUAUUAAAUCUUAAAAACAUUUUAUUUUUUGUUCAAGGCUUCUAGAAAAAGUCUACCUUGUCAAGAUCGUUAAUUUAUAUGUAUAUCAAUAAUUUUUGAUUAUUUUAUUAAGACUAAGCAAAACCAAUCAAAAUAUAUAUUAAAAGUCAAGAGUCAAAAUAAUCUAAAAAAUCAAGUAAUGUUAAUUGUGUCAAUUCAAUAUGAUUGUCAUUGAUUAAAAUAAUAUUUCAAAUAAUCACUCAAAUCAAUUUCUCAGAUGCUUAAAAAAAACUAAUUAUUUUUAAUAGGCUUAUUAAAUUUUUCAAAAUACUAUUAAAUAUUUUUGUUAUAUGAUAAUUUCAAACCUACAAAUAGUUCGUGUAUGUUUUUAUGUAGUGUAGAAAAGAUGACAAUGACAAUUAAAAAAUAAUCAUUCAAAUGGGAUAAAAUUGACUAAGCAAUUUUGCAUGGUAAUAGAAUAAUGGGGUAUUUAUUUUCUGGAAGUAAAAACAUUGACUAAGCAAUUUUGCAUGAUAAUAGAAUAAUGGGGUAUUUAUUUUCUGGAAGUAAAAACAUUGACUAAGCAAUUUUGCAUGGUAAUAGAAUAAUGGGGUAUUUAUUUUCUGGAAGUAAAAACAAUGUAUUCCAAUUAGUGUAUUAUUCAUUAUAUCUAAUAUUAAUUACGAUUUUGAUUUCACAUUAAAUAAUUAAUGGCACUGAAGACUGAUUCCAUUUUUCUAUCAAUAUAUAUCCUAUAUACAAUUCAUAUCAUUCUAUAUACAAAGCGAUAUAUAUAGAUAUUGAAUGCAGAGAAUGGUGAGAAAAGCAUUCAUGAAAGAACAGAAGAUAGGUGCAUCUGAAGUGCCAAUAUUGCUGGUUUCCUUGGGAUUAUUGAUUUUCUCUUUAUCAGUUAAUGGACAGAUGAUGGAUGGUAAUUAUAUGUUCUUCGACUAUAUAUGUAUAUCGUGUUAAUUAGCUCUGAAUCAUGCAUUCAAUUUGUAGAUGGAUUCAUAAGCAUCGAUUGUGGACAAGAAAAGAACUACACAGAUACCCCAACAGGUUUGCGCUAUGUUUCUGAUUUUGAUGGGUUUGUAGAUACUGGUGAGACUCACAAGAUCCCCACUGAUAUGGAACAAUAUGCAACGAACCGACAAGGGUACCAUUUGAGAAGUUUUCCGAAUGGAAGCAAGAACUGCUACAGAUUACGAGUUGAUGAGAAUAAAAAGUAUUUGAUAAGAGCAUCAUUCAUGUAUGGCAAUUAUGAUCAAAGAAACAAUCCUCCACAGUUUGAUCUCUAUCUGAAUGUCGAUCUAUUGAGCUCGGUUGAUCUUAGAGGACGAUCCAAAACUCAUGUAUUCUUAGAAAUUUCGGUUUUUGCUUCGAGAAAUCCGAUGUUUGUUUGUGUGGUAAAUAAAGGAUUGGGGACACCAUUUGUAUCCUCUUUGGAGUUGAGGCCUUUAAAAGAUGAUAUGUAUCCUUUAGUGACGAAUAAUCAAUCAUUCGUCCUCUUUCAACGAAGCAAUGUUCAACCAAUUAGAAAUGAAACAUUAAGGUAAAUCUUUUUUUUUCUAUCUUUAUAUGUCGUUCACAUAUAUAUUUUGAUAUGUUGUAUUUUCAGGUAUCCGACUGAUAUCUAUGAUCGCUUUUGGAUUCCAUAUUUCUCCAAGUCUUUGGAAACGUUAUCGACCGAAUCAAAUAUUAUGCAAUGUGCAGCUUGUUUAGGUUACCCAGCUCCAAUGGAUGUGUUGAAAACAUGUGGAGAGCCAAUUGCAAAUGGUUCAGAUAUAAAUAUCACAUUCGAGUGGCCACUUAAUAAUAUCACGUCUCGGAAAAUAGCCUAUGCAUUCCACUAUGCAGAAAUCCAACCCCUCACAACAAAUCAAUCAAGGAGUUGUUCUUUUCUUUCGAGCUUUUGGAAGCAAACCAAGCCAGAAGAGUUUCCAAAGUAUUUAACAGCAACUUAUUGGUACUUGAAAGAACCAAUACUGGUAUCAAUAGAUUUUUUCUACACGACUUUUCGCAAAACAAAAAAUUCUACACUUCCUCCACUCUUAAGUGCCAUGGAAAUAUAUGAAGUCAAACAAACAUCAAAGUUAAUUUCUACUGGGAAAGAAGGUAUAUAUGUCAAAUAUAGUAUGUACAUGUAAUUCAUUAAUCAAUCAAUUCAUUUAUUGUAUAUGUAUAUACAGUUGAAGCCAUGAUGGAAAUAAAAGAAUUCUACAAAUUGAAGAAGAAUUGGCAAGGGGAUCCAUGUGCUCCAGAGAACUUAAUUUGGGAAGGGAUCAAAUGUAGAAAUUUUUCGAUCGUUUCUUUGUAAGUCCGUUUUAAUUAUUUGAUGAAAAAAUAAUAUAUAUUACCCUCUACAUAAUUACAUAUAUCAUAAAUUGAAAAAUAUUUUCUUUCAAGUUAGAAUCAUGUUAAUAUGUGCGUGAUAAGAUAAUAUGAGAUAUCUGAUCUUUUUUAUCUAGAGAUUUAGAAUAUCACUGAGAUUGAGAUUAACGGUUGUGAUUAAACUAUCUCAUAUAAUAUCAUCACUCUUUUCUUUUCUUUUCUUUUCUUUUCUUUUAAUUAAUGUAUGUAUAUAUUUAAUAAUACUUAAUUAUAGGAACCUGUCAUCAAAUGGGCUGAGUGGGAAAAUAGCACUUUCAAUUAGAGAUCUCAAACAACUUGAAAACUUGUAAGCAGAGAAGAAAUAUAAUUUAUUUAGAUCCAAAUAUAAAUGAGAAGAAAUAUAAUAAAAUAUAAAUAAUUUAUUUAUUAUUAUUUUGUUGACAUAAAUGCAGAGACUUAUCAAACAACAAAUUGAAUGGAAAAAUCCCACACUUCCUUUCAGAUUUAGAAAAUCUUAAAUUUUUGUAAGUGUAUAUUUUUUUUAAAAUAAUCAUAACUACUAUCAAUUAUUCUCUUAACUAACUAGUUAUAAUAUAUUUAUCCAUAGGGAUGUGUCUAGGAAUAAUCUCAAUGGGGAUAUACCAGAAGGUUUGAAAAAAAUUUUUGAAGAUGGAUUCCUCACCAUGAGGUAUGAAUAAAAUUAAAAAACAAAACAAGUAUAAUCUUGUUUCAAUUCCUCCCAUAUAUUUUGGAUGUGAACAUAUAUAUAUGAAAAGUGAAUAUUGUUGGAUCCCCCCCAUCUUAUGUAAGGUUUGAAGGAAACCCUAAUAUUUGCGAAAACCCACACAAAUGCGGAAAGAGUACGUAGUUCAAACCAAAUUGUCAUCAUUAUUCCUAUUGUGGUAAUUAUCGCGAUAGCAGUCAUCGUGACUGUUAUUUGGAAAAGGAAAAGAAAACUCUAUGGUAAGCUAAUUAAACACUAUCUAGUUAAUUUUUGCAAAUUCUAAGAAUUAUGUUUACUAAUUACUUAUAUAUUAAAUUCUUUAAUUAAGGUCGAAAAAGAAUUAUUGAAAGUAAAGGAAGAGGAUCUUUCCGUCUUCCAUCUUUUAGUUCCAAUAACAAGAUAUUGACAUACAGCGAUUUGAUCAAUAUAACCAACGAUUUCGAUAAAAUAAUUGGACAAGGAGGAUUUGGUACUGUGUAUCAUGGAACAAUGAACAAUGGAAUUCAAGUGGCGGUUAAACAUCUCUCUGUUGCUUCAUCUCAAGGAUCAAAAGAAUUUCAAAUGGAGGUAGGCUUCAUUUAUACAUCCAUUAUUAUUUUUGAAAACACUUAAGAUAUCUUAUAAGAUAUGAAUCUAGACCAUGAACCAUAUCUUGAGAUCAUACUUCAGUUUAAUGACUAUAUAUAUAUAUGCAGGCACAUCUCCUUACAACGAUUCAUCACAAGAACCUAGUACCUUUGGUUGGGUAUUGUAAUGAGAAAGAUCAUCUAGCAUUGGUAUAUGAAUAUAUGGCAGGUGGAAAUCUAAAAGAUCGUCUUUCAGGUUUGUUAAAAUUAUACCAUCUAAGCUCUCCGUCGCAUGAACGCCUAGGUCGCCUAGACAUUGUCUGCAUAAUUUUAGAAAUAUUAAAAAAAUAUAUAUAAAUCAUUAGAAUGAAAUAAAAGUCAUAAGUAAAAUAAAAUAGUACUUACGAAGCCAUAAGGCUUCCUGAAAAAAAGGGAGAAGAAAAAAAUAGGUGGCUGGAAUUGAGAGGAAAAUGAGCUGGGAAUAAGGUUUUAAAACCCUAAUUCUCAUUUUUAUAAGAUUUAAAUAGGUAUUUGGGUUAGAUAGACGGAUCCAACCAUAUCCGUCUAACCCUCCUAGUGCAUGAAGACAGAUUGCCUACAGGUAUCGGGCCACAUGAUCGUCUAGGCGAUCGCAUGUAAAAGCCUGAUACCAUCAAACCAAAAUAUAUUUUUUUUGCACAUACUGAAAUUAUAUUAUUCUUACUUGUUGCAAAAAGGAUCAAUUGGCUCUUUGACGACAAUAUGCUGGAGAGAUCGACUUAGGAUAGCAUUAGAAGUUGCAGAAGGUACGUAAAACAAAAAACACACAAAAUUGUGUAAAUCUAACUAGUUCUUAUUUAAUUUAGUUUUAAUUUUAGAUUCAAAUUUCUUUGCUUAUGGUAUAUAAUAGGAUUGGAUUAUCUACAUAGAGGAUGCAAACCAACAAUAAUCCACCGAGAUAUAAAGACAAGCAACAUAUUAUUAUCGGAAAAAUUAGAAGCUAAGAUAACGGAUUUUGGAUUGUGUAAAAUCUUCGAAAAUAAUGAUGCAAUGACGCAUAUGUCAACUAAUGUGUUGGGUACUCCUGGUUAUCUCGACCCUGAGUAAGUCUUUAUAUAUCCAACUAUCAAUUAAGUAGACUCAAAAGAUCCAUGUAUGCAUCUAAUUCCAAUUCAUAAUUUUCUUGAUUUUACUGUCAAAGCCAUAUAUAGAUAUAGGGUGCAUUUUUUAUGCGGUUCAUCCUCAAUGCGGAUGACUGCGGUCGCCGUUCCGCAUUGGGAACGAUCCACCUCCCGUACUGGGACCUAUCGCCCGAACCACCGACACGAGGUUCGCGAUCUGGAACCCAUCGCGGUUACGUUACACGGUUCGGGCGGUUGGGGACGAACCGCGAUGGGUUCCAUCACCCGAACACACCGCGGUUCCAUACCAAUGGGUUCCGAUCAUGAUUGACCGUGGCAUGAGGUUCGCGAUGGCGCCUUACCGCGAUAUGUUUCGCCUUACCGCGAUAUGUUUGGGCUCUUCAAUCAUCGGAUGAUCGGACUUCGGUGGUUUUGUUGAAGUUAACGGACCUCAUGCCGUCCCCUCACCGCGUUGUGGUACGGUCCGCAACGGAGCACCGUCAGAUUGUCAAUUCAGUUGUCAAUCCGGGUGGGCGUCCGUAGGAGGUAUCAGGUGCGGACAACCACACCUGAUACGGGUUGUAUAGAUAUAUAUUACUUUAAGUCUUUAACUCCAGUCGCAAUUGUAAUCACAAACUAAUUUCAACCAUCUAUUCAUUCUAAUGUGUAGAUAUCGAAAAACAUACAAGUUGAAAGAGAAAAGUGAUGUUUACAGCUUUGGAAUCGUUCUUCUAGAAUUAAUAACAGGUAAACCUGCCGUAAUAAAGAAUGCAGACGAAGAUUAUAUUUUAUUGGGAGAAUGGAUGGAUGCAAUCCAUGCACGAGGGGAUAUACUUGCAAUUGUUGAUCCAAAGUUAAAUGGAGAAUAUGAUAUCAACUCUGCUUUGAAAGCUCUUGAGAUAGCCUCAGCAUGCACUCCUUCCUUAUCCGAACGAAGAUCAUCGAUGCAUGAUAUCGUGACACUUUUAAAGGAGUGCUUAGAGAUUGAAAUAACAUGUGGAGCUUGCAGAUAUAGAAGCUCGAAUUUUAUGGCUAAUUAUGAAGAUGAAAUGUUUACAGGUCCUACAAUAAGGUAGGGAUUGAAAUUCCCAAAGACUCUGCGUGCAGACAUCUAUGCAUACAUAUGGAGUUUGUCUAUUCUAUCUAAUAUAUGUGUGAUUCGCAUCCUCUAUCAAUUAUCACCUGAUCAAGUGAUAGGGAAUAAUAAAAAUGUUAGUUGUAGUAAUUUGAGAGGUUAUAUAGUGUUUUUUCCAUUUCAUCUAUGUAAAUGUCAUUGUAAUAAACAAAAGAAAUAAAAUAGAAAUUUUAUUAUGUGAUAUAGAAUCAAAAACAAUCAACGGAUUACAAUGAAUUAAUGAUGUUCAGAAAAUAUAGACAUAUGCAAAGAGUAAUUACUGGUGAGGGAAUUAAUCAACCAACAUAACCAAUAAUCUAUACUUAACGUAAGAGAAAGAAGAAACAGAUUACAUACCGUAGUAUUGAAUCUGAAGUUGAUUCGAUAUUGCAUCUUUGAAAGAGAAAAAGCGAUUGUCUGGCUUCUACAAAGAGGAAUACAUGUUAUUGUCCAAUGGACUCAACUCUAAGGAUGAUAUAAAUGGUGUUCCAAAUAUUUUUACCAAACAAACCACCAUCGAUUUUUUUAGGCAAAAGCCAUUAUUUCUACUGUAUGGUAUCAGACCCAUUAAGGUCAACUGAGAUCGACAUCCAGAUAGAAAUCAAACUGAAGAAUUCUAUUCAAUGUAUCAUAAUUAGCAUAUAGGAAUAAUACUCUAAUUAAGUACUUUUUUUUAUCUAUUUGGACAUAUAGUCUGUAGCAAUUUCUGGAUCCUUCAGGAAAGCUUCUUAAAUGAUAUCCCUGUUUAUUCGAUGCAAUUUUUUUUACCAUGCCAUGACUAGGAAUCUUUUUGUUUCAUACCACUUUCGACAAAGCUUGAAUCAGAUAUGUAGGUUAAAUCCGUUGCAUUAUCAACAUAAUCAUUUUCUUGACCACAGUUAAUGCUUAUGAAUUCUGAAUAUAUAUAAAAACGAGCAAAAUUUCGAGAUAAAAGGCAUUAAUAUUUAAAGAAACAGAAUUGAAAGAAUUGAACUAUGUAGAGAGUUUAGCGAUUAAGGAUUGACAUGUAUAUGUAGUUUUAAACUCACAGAUAUUCAUUAUCAUAAACAAAAAGAAAAAUUUCAAAUUACUUAUGUUUGUGAUUACUCCGAUUAGCAUUUCAACGGCCAAAACCUUGGUAGGAUUCAUUUGCAAUAACCCAAAAUCUCUAAAAUUUAAUAUGAAAUUGAGAAAAGGUUCGAUACCAUCAAGCUGACCAUGGACCUUAAUGAUGAGAUGAAUGCCAGAAAAUCCGUCAGAUGUAGAACAGAAGACAAUCUAUUCCUGCCAUUUUCAUUUUUAAAUCCUCAGCAUCUGAAUUUGCAAUAAUACAUCAGCUAAUAGAGAGAAGAAGAAAUGAGAGCUGUGCAAAUGAAAUUAGUAAGAUGGGGUUUAUUUACAACUGUGCUGGUAUGUUUCCAAGGGAGAGUGAUGUGGAAGGUCAACCCCUUUCAUCCUCAAGAGUUAUUGUCUGCACAUCUAUAUAUUCAUCAGCUAAUAUUACAAUUUUAUGGUGCUCUCGAUCUUGUCAUUUUUUAUCAGACAACCAAGAAUGGAAUUGCAAACAGCUGCAUUAUUAUUGAUUGAUUUAUUAGUUAAACUGGUAUACACUUGCAGAGCUUUCAAAUGAUUUCAACUAAUGUGUGGCUAAAAUGCCUAAAAAACGACUCCCUGAUAUCGAAAAAAACAAAAUGCUAUCAUUGAAUAUGAAAUAACCUGAGAAACCUCUGACCAUCUUCCCAAAUUCCCAAAAUGUCGCAAGAUAAUAUUCAAGUCUUGCACGAGCAAUACGUUCUCAAACCUGUAACGAGCAUAAAGCUUUGUAAAUCUCGGCAAUGUAUUGAACAUUUGAACCAAAUUUAGCAUAUGAAUAUACGAUCGAUCAACACACUGAAAAUGAGGCAGAUUUUGGAAUUACGAAGAGAGGGUUACCUGGAGAGAGUCGCAAGCAAGUCGGCGAAGUUCUUGAGUGCAGAUACAGCGGAUUGUCGUGGAGUGGGGCGGAAAUCAGAAGAUACAAUGACUGCGGAGGUGGAGGAAGUGGAAGCGGAAGAAGAGAGAUAGGAUUUGUGUAGGGUUUUGGAGAAAGAAGAGGAGGGAGAUGGAUUGCAAUUCCUGGUGGUGAUGUUGGUUAGGAGAAAAUGCGAUCGGAAUCUGGAGGAGACGGAUGGAGGUAGUGGAUAUGCG